Molecule: non-coding RNA, 189 nt
Organism: Glossina morsitans morsitans
Lineage: Eukaryota; Metazoa; Arthropoda; Insecta; Diptera; Glossinidae
Source: Rfam
UCUCAUCAUAUGGAGCGCGUUAAUUGCAAACAGCCUCCGCGAAGUAAUACCUGACAGCACGCCCGCGGAGGAGACUGGUCGAAAUAGUGUUUGUGGGGAGUAAUUUUAAUACGUAGGCGCCAUGGACAGCGAAUCAUGUAUGCUGCUGGUACGGGCCAGUAGUAUCUUUGGAAGAUUUUUCCCUCUAAC